CAACGUUUCAGUCCUACUCAAGGACUUUCAUCAGGAUUAUGUAAACAUAAUCCUGAUGAAAGUCCUUGAGUAGGACUGAAACGUC
Non-coding RNA from Pelobates cultripes (western spadefoot toad), 85 nucleotides. Lineage: Eukaryota; Metazoa; Chordata; Amphibia; Anura; Pelobatidae. The record is from the annotation of a GenBank genome assembly.